Molecule: long non-coding RNA, 1367 nt
Organism: Daphnia magna
Lineage: Eukaryota; Metazoa; Arthropoda; Branchiopoda; Diplostraca; Daphniidae
Exons: 4
Source: RefSeq, a predicted model, not a curated record
AUUUUUCCACUGGUCUUAUAGUUUUUGAACUUAAGUACUUAACUUAUUGCUGGAAGGUAGAUCGUCACUAGAUGGCAGUGCAGGAUCUACCAUUGUCAAUCAAUUGCAUAGUCAGUAGGUGUCAAAUGGCGUUACGGUAUUCACAACGUAAUGGAUAAUGGAAAUGUUUUUGUUUAUUAGAUAAUUUUCAUUCAAGAUGAAUGUUAAAAUCCACUUGAUUGCGACAGGACCAGGAUGUAAAUGGGACUAUGUCAUCACCUUUCAAAUUAUUAUUAGAGUACAAUCAAUUGAAUACCAUCAAUGAAUACCAUCAAUUUCCCAUAAGGAAAGGAGAAGAACCAUAGUCUGGCUUGUACCAAACUGGAUUGUACCAAACUGUGAAAGAAAUCAUGUGUCUGUUACUGAAACUGGCUCUCUCUGUUUGUGACAUCAGACCUUACAGUGUGUCACUCUGAAGCAGAGCUCCUGAAAUGAGAUUGAACGUUUUGAACCAUCUCAUGCCAAAGCUCAAGUUAAGCUCUGUUGGUUUUUCCUUCCUGUAAACCGAUGAUUACAACUAAUGAAAUGCAACUUAUUGUGUUGUUUGCAGAAGCAUUUAAAAGAGGUGGCUUUUUGGUUAGAGUUUCUUCGACAUCCGAUGCCAUGCAGAUCCUGCCGAGCGAUCUGAAUAUAUUUUAGCGCUCAGUCGGAACGGUGUUCACUUCCUCGACUAAUAGGUCACGUAAUUAAAUAACAUUGUGCUUCACAAAACUUUAAUCUUAAAUUUUUAAUAGAAAAAUUUGAUAAACAAUCAUUAUCUCUAGGCUAUAUCAAUUUGCAAAGUCAAAGCGAAAGAGGGUCUCCUUUUCAUGGAAUCAUCCGCAUCCAAUCAUAUCAAACGCACGAGACAUCCGCCUUGUCUGGCAACUUACCAUCCAGCUACGCAUCUUUCAACAGAGUGUUCAAGAGGAAAGUAAUUGACUAAAUGCCGACUCGAUGAUUUCCGUGCAAGAUGAGUGUGAAUCCAAGGAUAUUUGGUGAGCAGAAUGCAACGGACUAUGUUAUGUUUAACCAUUAGCUAAAUUCAAUGAAUACUGUCAAUUCCCCAGAACGAGAGGUUAAUAAUCAUACUGAAUCAAACGAGGUACAUAUUUGAACGAGAUUUUAAAAUGAUAACGAUUGGAAGCCCAUGAGGAAAUUUCGAAGAAUGGUACCUUCACGUUACCUUGAGGCGCUGAUUCGUCUCGAAGAUAAAAUGUAUAAAAAAUAAGUUAUUUUUAUAAAUUGAAGUGCAUAUCUGGGCUCCCUUCUUUUCUGUGGCCCCGUUUCCCCUUGACUCGUAAUAAGCCCGUAGGGGGUCAUGCCCCUACUGUGAUCAGCAGUAAAGG